RNAcentral lists this ribosomal RNA (283 nucleotides) under Spirochaetales bacterium. Its description in RNAcentral is "partial 16S ribosomal RNA". It matches the Rfam family "Bacterial small subunit ribosomal RNA", at positions 1 to 287 of the family's 1533-position model. The record is from RNAcentral. Lineage: Bacteria; Pseudomonadati; Spirochaetota; Spirochaetia; Spirochaetales.
AUGACGGAGAGUUCGAUCCUGGCUCAGAACGAACGCUGGCGGCGCGUUUUAAGCAUGCAAGUCGAGCGGCAGUAGCAAUACGAGAGCGGCGGACGGGUGAGUAACACGUGGGUAAUCUGCCUACCAGUCGGGGAUAGCCUGUGGAAACACAGGAUAAUACCGGAUGCGAUGCGUUUCACACAAGUGAGACGUAGGAAAGGGGCUAAGGCCCCGCUGGAAGAUGAGCCCGCGUCCCAUUAGCUAGAUGGCGGGGUAAAGGCCCACCAUGGCGAUGAUGGGUAGC